AGUGAACGCUGGCGGCAGGCCUAACACAUGCAAGUCGAACGGCAGCACAAGAGAGCUUGCUCUCUGGGUGGCGAGUGGCGGACGGGUGAGGAAUGCAUCGGAAUCUGCCCAUUUGUGGGGGAUAACCUCGGGAAACCGGGACUAAUACCGCAUACGACCUACGGGUGAAAGCAGGGGAUCUUCGGACCUUGCGCAGAUGGAUGAGCCGAUGCCGGAUUAGCUAGUUGGAGGGGUAAAGGCCCACCAAGGCGACGAUCCGUAGCUGGUCUGAGAGGAUGAUCAGCCACACUGGGACUGAGACACGGCCCAGACUCCUACGGGAGGCAGCAGUGGGGAAUAUUGGACAAUGGGCGCAAGCCUGAUCCAGCCAUGCCGCGUGUGUGAAGAAGGCCUUCGGGUUGUAAAGCACGUUUGUUGGGAAAGAAAAGCAGCCGGUUAAUACCCGGUUGUCAUGACGGUACCCAAAGAAUAAGCACCGGCUAACUUCGUGC
RNAcentral lists this ribosomal RNA (491 nucleotides) under uncultured bacterium. Its description in RNAcentral is "partial 16S ribosomal RNA". It matches the Rfam family "Bacterial small subunit ribosomal RNA", at positions 29 to 508 of the family's 1533-position model. The record is from RNAcentral.